Molecule: ribosomal RNA, 577 nt
Filed under: Stumpffia kibomena
Lineage: Eukaryota; Metazoa; Chordata; Amphibia; Anura; Microhylidae
Description: partial 12S ribosomal RNA
Rfam family: Bacterial small subunit ribosomal RNA (bases 1-465)
Source: RNAcentral
AAUAUUUACCCACAUCUAAAACCGCCAGGGAAUUACAAGCCCCCACUUAAAACCCAAGGAACUUGACGGUGUCCCAUCCACCUAGAGGAGCCUGUUCUAUAAUCGACACCCCACGAUACACCUUACCACCCCUAGCACAAUCAAUCAGUCUGUAUACCUCCGUCGCAAGCUUACCAUGUGAACGUCACCCGUGAGCUAAAAGAUUGACCCCCACCAACACGUCAGGUCAAGGUGCAACUAACGGAGUGGAAAGCAAUGGGCUACAAUUUCUACCAUAGAACAUACAAAAACUGCAUGAAACACAGCCACCAAGGCGGAUUUAGAAGUAAAAAGAAAAUAGAGAGUUCUUUUUAACUCGGCCCUGGGACGCGUACACACCGCCCGUCACCCUCCUCACAUCUACUAAGAGGAGGCAAGUCGUAACACGGUAAGCGUACUGGAAAGUGCGCUUGGACAACAAAAUGUAGCUUAACCAAAGCAUCUCGCUUACACCGAAAUAGACGUCAGCAAUUUUCUGACCAUUUUGAGCCCAAAUCCCAGCCCCCAACCCAACCAAACCAAACAGCAAAUAAACAAA